This 479-nucleotide long non-coding RNA is filed under the name Salmo salar (Atlantic salmon). RNAcentral describes it as "lncRNA (ENSSSAG00000090449.1)". The record is from RNAcentral. Lineage: Eukaryota; Metazoa; Chordata; Actinopteri; Salmoniformes; Salmonidae.
CGAAGGUUUUGAUCAGUAACCAUGGUCAAAUAGUUAGCCACGGUGUACUGUCGAUUUAGGGCCAGAUAGCACUGCAUUUUGAUUUGUGCUUGUGUUUCCCAAUAAGCAAUGUAGUUUUGUUUUCACUGUGUUGUAAUUUGGGUUCAUUCUGAUUGAUUGGAUGUUCUGGUCCUGAGGCUUCAGUGUGUUAGUAGAACAGAUUAGUGAACUCAGCCCCAGGACCAGCUGGAUGAGGGUCCUGAGGCUUCAGUGUGUUAGUAGAACAGGUUAGUGAACUCAGCCCCAGGACCAGCUGGAUGAGGGUCCUGAGGCUUCAGUGUGUUUAGUAGAACAGGUUAGUGAACUCAGCCCCAGGACCAGCUGGAUGAGGGUCCUGAGGCUUCAGUGUGUUUAGUAGAACAGGUUAGUGAACUCAGCCCCAGGACCAGCUGGAUGAGGGUCCUGAGGCUUCAGUGUGUUAGUAGAACAGGUUAGUGAAC